ACAACAUCACAAUUUCAAUAAAAGCAUGUGAGCACAUUGUAUUUAUGGACAGUGAAUAGGCUAGGGAAUCUAUAUGCCUACAGCAUUCGGGUUGAACCUGAACUUCAUUAACCCCUGAAUAACGUACGCUGUGGGCAUGCUGUCCAGAUCUUGCUCUCCGGGUUUACAAGUGAGUGGGUGUGGGUUUAAAUAUCUAAUGGAGAAAAGGCAUUGCAGAAUCUCUCAUCGGACGAGAAUAGCAUCGUUGUGUCCACCGCCCCCACCCCACAACACCCCACCUAACGGAUUUUUAAAAAGAGGUUCUUUUUCGCUUCGGCAGCCAACACUCCGGGUUUGUCUUGACUCAGCCCAAAUCGCCAACAAAUACCGAUUCCGUCCAACAUGUUCAUGGGAUGCAUUUCUUUCAAAUCUUUGGUUGGUCAGGGUGACUGGCUUCAAUAGUGGAUGACCUUGUCGGAUGACCCAUCUGUCGUACUGGGCCGAUACGGGAGAGGUGAGACAGCUAUGCAGAGCCUGAACACUCUGAUUUCCACCUCCGCAGAUGGUGGGUCACCUUAAGUAAAGACAAACACAGAGGUCAAAGAACACGUCUCUGUGAUCACUUGCUAUUAGUUGGAUUUGUCACCCUUAAGGCACCCAGGUAAGGAAUUUUAAACUUGAUUCAUAGUCGCUUAGGAUAAAAGUGUCACAACUUUAAACUUUGUAAAUCAGCUAUAGGUCACACAGAGAGAAGAGCAACAGGGUAGUGUGGCGGCAGGUAAAAGCCAUUCUACAGGUCAGUCUUUUUUUGGAUUAUUUUUUGCCUGGCAAUUCUAUGUCGGUCCAAACCCUUGAAUGUAUCUGAAAAAAAUGCUUUGCAUAUUGGUUUAGUAUGCUACUGUUAGAUAUGUUUUGUGCCAUGAUUUGGUGAAUAUGAUAAUAGUAACUGUGUAACACUUUGGACCAUUUGCAUUCCCCCAACAACUGUGUUAUAUAAAUACAUACUGCAUGCAAUGUAAGGGAUAAGAUGUACAAUUUGCAGAACAACUGCAUAUAUUUCUGGGGAGAGAAAUCUUAUUUUGCUACUUAUUGGACUGUCACACAGUCCCACAUUGUCUCCACAACAGUUACUAAUUAAAUGACCAUAUUGCAUGCCCAUAAGUAGGUGUGUCUGUGUCAUAAGCCAGGGAGUCAGUGUGUUACAGCCACUUGGUUACCCCUGAAUACUCAACUUAAUUGGGUGUAUAUCUUAAGCACAGACAUUUCUCCUUCUAAUUAAAGAUUCAUGUCAGAGGCAAGACUACAUGUUAUUAAUAAAUUAUAUGACUUGAAAUCACACAAUUUACAGAAUACUUGGUGGAAAAAAAAUCUUUCAGAUUUUUGUUCAUUUCUUUCCAUUGAUUGGGACUUUUUAGAGAAGACUAUUCAUCUUGUUUUUUGGACAAAAAAGUGUUUAUGAGUCCACUAAUGUGAGUGUAACAGUAUGUAAAAUGUGGUGUUAUAUUUGCAUAAUGAUGAUACUGUGUGCAAUUACUUAACAUUCACAUCAGUUCAUUCAGACAUUCAUCACUGAAGGAAUCAGAGUAAUGGCCUUCACAUUUAAAUCAAGUAGCAUUUGCUUUACAUGGACAAAAUCAUAUUUCAUGACCAAAAUAACAAAGAAACUCCAUUAAUUAUUGUCUUAAGUACAGAUUAAUAAGAAUUAAUGAGUGGCCUGACAUUUUGUAUACAAAAAAAGUGAAAGGGCUAAGAAUCCUAAAAUGUGCAUUUUUCUUAAUGAUUUGGGCAUAUCUCACAUAUACCUAAGUUUUUGUUAUUUGGAUGAUAAAAUGAAAUAUUAAGUAUAUUUUCUGCUUGAGUCAACGGUCUUUGAUAUUUUAAAAAGAAAUAGCAUGACUAAUCGCCUAAAGAGAUAUUAAGCAGUAUGCCAGAAAGUGUGUAAUGAUAUACCAUUAUAAUGAUGUCUGUAUUCGUCAAAGUCUUUGACUUACUACGGUUC
This is a long non-coding RNA of Alosa sapidissima (American shad), 1978 nucleotides long. RefSeq lists it as uncharacterized. Lineage: Eukaryota; Metazoa; Chordata; Actinopteri; Clupeiformes; Clupeidae. The transcript is spliced from 3 exons. The record is from RefSeq and is a predicted model, not a curated record.